GACGAACGCUGGCGGCGUGCUUAACACAUGCAUGUCGAACGGAAAGGCCUAGCUUGCUGGGUACUCGAGUGGCGAACGGGUGAGUAACACGUGGGUGAUCUGCCCCUGACUUUGGGAUAAGCCUGGGAAACUGGGUCUAAUACCGGAUAUUCAUUUUUCCUCGCAUGGGGAUUUGUGGAAAGCUUUUGCGGUUGGGGAUGGGCCCGCGGCCUAUCAGCUUGUUGGUGGGGUAAUGGCCUACCAAGGCGACGACGGGUAGCCGACCUGAGAGGGUGAUCGGCCACACUGGGACUGAGACACGGCCCAGACUCCUACGGGAGGCAGCAGUGGGGAAUAUUGCACAAUGGGCGCAAGCCUGAUGCAGCGACGCCGCGUGAGGGAUGACGGCCUUCGGGUUGUAAACCUCUUUCAGCUCCGACGAAGCGCAAGUGACGGUAGGAGCAGAAGAAGCACCGGCCAACUACGUG
Molecule: ribosomal RNA, 467 nt
Filed under: uncultured bacterium
Lineage: Bacteria
Description: partial 16S ribosomal RNA
Rfam family: Bacterial small subunit ribosomal RNA
Source: RNAcentral